This 487-nucleotide ribosomal RNA is filed under the name uncultured bacterium. Its description in RNAcentral is "bacterial SSU rRNA". It matches the Rfam family "Bacterial small subunit ribosomal RNA", at positions 28 to 507 of the family's 1533-position model. The record is from RNAcentral.
GAUGAACGCUAGCUACAGGCUUAACACAUGCAAGUCGAGGGGCAGCAUUAGGUAGCAAUACUGAGAUGGCGACCGGUCGCACGGGUGCGUAACGCGUAUCCAACCUUCCCGUUACUCUCGGAUAGCCUUCCGAAAGGGAGAUUAAUACGAGAUGGUGUUUGAAUUCCGCAUGUUAUUCAAACUAAAGAUUCAUCGGUAACGGAUGGGGAUGCGUGACAUUAGGUAGAUGGCGGGGUAACGGCCCACCAUGCCUACGAUGUCUAGGGGUUCUGAGAGGAAGGUCCCCCACACUGGAACUGAGACACGGUCCAGACUCCUACGGGAGGCAGCAGUGAGGAAUAUUGGUCAAUGGUCGGAAGACUGAACCAGCCAAGUAGCGUGAAGGAUGAAGGUUCUAUGGAUUGUAAACUUCUUUUAUACGGGAAUAAAACCACCUACGUGUAGGUGCUUGUAUGUACCGUAUGAAUAAGCAUCGGCUAACUCCGUG